UCGGGAAUUUUGGGCAAUGGGGGAAACCCUGACCCAGCAACGCCGCGUGAAGGAUGAAGUAUUUCGGUAUGUAAACUUCGAAAGAAUAGGAAGAAUAAAUGACGGUACUAUUUAUAAGAUCCGGCUAACUACGUGCCAGCAGCCGCGGUAAUACGUAGGGACCAAGCGUUGUUCGGAUUUACUGGGCGUAAAGGGCGCGUAGGCGGCAUGACAAGUCACUUGUGAAAUCUCUGGGCUUAACCCAGAACGGCCAAGUGAUACUGUCGCGCUAGAGUGCAGAAGGGGCAAUCGGAAUUCUUGGUGUAGCGGUGAAAUGCGUAGAUAUCAAGAGGAACACCUGAGGUGAAGACGGGUUGCUGGGCUGACACUGACGCUGAGGCGCGAAAGCCAGGGGAGCAAACGGGAUUAGAUACCCCCGUAGUCCCUGAGCGGGCUGGCAAGGCGCAU
Molecule: ribosomal RNA, 447 nt
Filed under: uncultured bacterium
Lineage: Bacteria
Description: bacterial SSU rRNA
Rfam family: Bacterial small subunit ribosomal RNA
Source: RNAcentral